CCUACGGGUGGCAGCAGUAGGGAAUAUUGCUCAAUGGGGGAAACCCUGAAGCAGCAACGCCGCGUGGAGGAUGAAGGUUUUCGGAUUGUAAACUCCUUUUGUUAGAGAAGAUAAUGACGGUAUCUAACGAAUAAGCACCGGCUAACUCCGUGCCAGCAGCCGCGGUAAUACGGAGGGUGCAAGCGUUACUCGGAAUCACUGGGCGUAAAGAGCGCGUAGGCGGGAUAGCAAGUCAGAUGUGAAUUCCUAGGGCUUAACCAUAGAACUGCAUUUGAAACUGUUAUUCUAGAGUAUGGGAGUGGUAGGUGGAAUUCGUGGUGUAGGGGUAAAAUCCGUAGAGAUCAAGAAGAAUACUCAUUGCGAAGGCGACCUGCUAGAACAUAACUGACGCUGAUGCGCGAAAGCGUGGGGAGCAAACAGGAUUAGAUACCCUUGUAGUC
RNAcentral lists this ribosomal RNA (440 nucleotides) under uncultured bacterium. RNAcentral describes it as "partial 16S ribosomal RNA". It matches the Rfam family "Bacterial small subunit ribosomal RNA", at positions 338 to 795 of the family's 1533-position model. The record is from RNAcentral.